CGGGGUGUGGCCUAGCUGGUAAGGCGCUAGACUGGGGGUCUAGAGAUCGCGUGUUCAAGUCACGUCACUCCGA
RNAcentral lists this transfer RNA (73 nucleotides) under Lachnospiraceae bacterium. Its description in RNAcentral is "tRNA-Pro". It matches the Rfam family "tRNA". Rfam says of the family: Transfer RNA (tRNA) molecules are approximately 80 nucleotides in length. Their secondary structure includes four short double-helical elements and three loops (D, anti-codon, and T loops). Further hydrogen bonds mediate the characteristic L-shaped molecular structure. tRNAs have two regions of fundamental functional importance: the anti-codon, which is responsible for specific mRNA codon recognition, and the 3' end, to which the tRNAs corresponding amino acid is attached (by aminoacyl-tRNA synthetases). tRNAs cope with the degeneracy of the genetic code in two manners: having more than one tRNA (with a specific anti-codon) for a particular amino acid; and 'wobble' base-pairing, i.e. permitting non-standard base-pairing at the 3rd anti-codon position. Lineage: Bacteria; Bacillati; Bacillota; Clostridia; Lachnospirales; Lachnospiraceae. The record is from RNAcentral.